This 397-nucleotide ribosomal RNA is filed under the name uncultured bacterium. RNAcentral describes it as "partial 16S ribosomal RNA". It matches the Rfam family "Bacterial small subunit ribosomal RNA", at positions 523 to 918 of the family's 1533-position model. The record is from RNAcentral.
AUACGUAGGGGGCGAGCGUUGUCCGGAAUGAUUGGGCGUAAAGGGCGCGUAGGCGGCCGCUUAAGUCUGGAGUGAAAGUCCUGUUUUCAAGAUGGGAAUUGCUUUGGAUACUGGGGGGCUUGAGUGCAGGAGAGGUUAUCGGAAUUCCCGGUGUAGCGGUGAAAUGCGUAGAGAUCGGGAGGAACACCAGUGGCGAAGGCGGGUAACUGGACUGCAACUGACGCUGAGGCGCGAAAGUGUGGGGAGCAAACAGGAUUAGAUACCCUGGUAGUCCACACGGUAAACGAUGAAUGCUAGGUGUAAGAGGUAUCGACCCCUUUUGUGCCGGAGUCAACACAAUAAGCAUUCCGCCUGGGGAGUACGGCCGCAAGGUUGAAACUCAAAGGAAUUGACGGGG